RNAcentral lists this ribosomal RNA (587 nucleotides) under uncultured bacterium. RNAcentral describes it as "bacterial SSU rRNA". It matches the Rfam family "Bacterial small subunit ribosomal RNA", at positions 338 to 915 of the family's 1533-position model. The record is from RNAcentral.
CCUACGGGAGGCAGCAGUGGGGAAUAUUGCGCAAUGGGGGAAACCCUGACGCAGCAACGCCGCGUGAGUGAGGAAGGACUUCGGUCUGUAAAGCUCUGUUAAUGUGGAAAAAUGGUAGUUGGUCUAAUAGGCCGAUUAUUUGAUGGUACACAUAGAGGAAGCACCGGCUAACUUCGUGCCAGCAGCCGCGGUAAUACGAAGGGUGCAAGCGUUGUUCGGAUUUAUUGGGCGUAAAGCGCGCGUAGGCGGACCUGCAAGUCAGAUGUGAAAUCUCGGGGCUCAACCUCGAAACUGCGUCUGAAACUACAGGUCUAGAAUCUUGGAGGGGGAAGGGGAAUUUCUCAUGUAGGGGUAAAAUCCGUAGAUAUGAGAAGGAACACCAGAGGCGAAGGCGCCUUCCUGGACAAGUAUUGACGCUGAGGCGCGAAAGCGUGGGGAUCAAACAGGAUUAGAUACCCUGGUAGUCCACGCUGUAAACGAUGAAUACUAGAUAUUGCAGGAUUUGACCCCAGCAGUGUCGUAGCUAACGCGUUAAGUAUUCCGCCUGGGAAGUCGGUCGCGAAGACUAAAACUUAAAUGAAUUGAGG